AGAGUUUGAUCCUGGCUCAGGAUGAACGUUGGCGGCAUGCUUAACACAUGCAAGUCGAACGCAGGCUUCGGCCUGAGUGGCGAACGGGUGCGUAACACGUAGGUGACCUGGCCUGGAGUGGGGGAUAACCCUCGGAAACGGGGGCUAAUACCGCAUGGUCUGGAGGUGUCUUGAAAACCUUCAGUAAAGCUCGAUGUGCUCUAGGGGGGGCCUGCGGCCUCAGGUAGUUGGUGGGGUAAGAGCCUACCAAGCCGAUGACGGGUAGCUGACCUGAGAGGGUGGUCAGCCACAGGGGAACUGAGACACGGUCCCCACUCCUACGGGAGGCAGCAGUGAGGAAUAUUGGGCAAUGGGGGCAACCCUGACCCAGCAAUGCCGCGUGCGGGAGGACGCCCUUCGGGGUGUAAACCGCUUUUGUGAGGGAGGAGCAAGGACCGUACCUCACGAAGAAGUCACGGCUAACUACGUGCCAGCAGCCGCGGUAAUACGUAGGUGGCGAACGUUAUCCGGAGUUACUGGGCGUAAAGGGUCCGCAGGCGGGCUUGCAAGUCUGACGUGAAAUCUUCUGGCUUAACUAGAAGAGGUCGUUGGAAACUGCGAGUCUAGCAUCCCGCAGAGGUCGGUGGAAUUCCCGGUGUAGUGGUGGAAUGCGUAGAGAUCGGGAGGAACCUCGAAAGCGAAGGCAGUCGGCUGGGCGCGGAUGGACGCUGAGGGACGAAAGCGUGGGGAGCGAACAGGAUUAGAUACCCUAGUAGUCC
This 758-nucleotide ribosomal RNA is filed under the name uncultured bacterium. Its description in RNAcentral is "bacterial SSU rRNA". It matches the Rfam family "Bacterial small subunit ribosomal RNA", at positions 8 to 796 of the family's 1533-position model. The record is from RNAcentral.